AAACGGCCCAUAAGAGUUAAGAGCAUAGUGAUGAAACGACGCGUUUAAAAGCGUAAAGAAUAGGAGACGGGCAAUGGCGGCGCUGCCUUGUUCCGUUACGGUCUUCUUCUCUGAAUCAUCGUCUUAGGCUUUGCAGAAUUUCAUUUCUCUUUGAUUGCUAUACUGUACAACCAUUCCAUUCUUUCGCUCGGUAACUCGCCAAGUCAAAUCAAUAUCCUGAGCUUCCAGCGAUUCGAUAUUUCAGAGCAAGCAAGCACUCAAGCAACUGCAAUGGGUAUAAUCAGGAGUACAUUCUCUUUCAUUGCAGGGACAGCCUUUGGGGUUUACUUGGCUCAGAAUUAUCAAAUCCCUAACAUCAGGAAGUUAGCUGACACUGCCUUGUUACAGGCAAAGCAAAUUGAGGAAAAAUAUCGUAAGUCUAAGAAGAAGGGUGGUGAUGAUGAUUAACUAUGAUUAGAAUGUCCAUGUUCCCCCACAUUGGAAUCAGGUUCUUGUUUUUGUAUUUUUGGUUUUAGUCCGGCAUCUUAUAGGAUCAGGUACCUAUAUUGACUAGAGUACUUGGAAAACACAAAUUAGUGGAAGAUCUUUAUACAAGCAAGUGUUAUUCGCAUUUAUAAACUUGUUAUUGAGUCCAAUUUUCACGGGAAAUGUUAUCAUUCUUUUGUCUUUCUUGUUCCAAAAUUUGAUUUAAAAUUACAAGUUGAAGAAGUGUAAUGUGAGUUAUACUCAGAUUCCUAAACAUUGGAUAAUGUUUGCUCCAAGUCAGAAAUUUGUUUAAUGAUAAUCAGAAUUGUAUAGCCCGGGGAGUAUUAUGCCGGUAAUGACAAUUAAAA
This is a long non-coding RNA of Glycine soja, 833 nucleotides long. RefSeq lists it as uncharacterized. The transcript is spliced from 2 exons. The record is from RefSeq and is a predicted model, not a curated record. NCBI's taxonomy places the organism in Eukaryota, Viridiplantae, Streptophyta, Magnoliopsida, Fabales, Fabaceae.